AUGUUUUCAUUCACAUCGAUGGGAGGAGCUGUGGACAAGGAAAUAAACACUCGCAAAGGACCUUAUGUUUUUCGUUUGCAUGGACAAAACUACCACCAUAUCGGAACUCUUUUGCCUCAAGGUACAGACAAACCUCGGUUUGCACAGCUAUACAUCUGUAAUACCAAAAAUGAGGUGGAAAACAGGAUAAGUGCGUCAAGAUGCAAUGAUAAAAAAUCAACAGUGGACCCCAACAUCGUCAAAGAACUGAAAAUAAUGCUCGACGACAACAACAUCCUCGCAAAAACCUUCAGAAUGGCAAGAGAUAGAUUCCAAGAAGGAGACUACCAUGAUUACACACUUCGGAUACUAGGCAAAAGGAAUGGAACACACAACCUUCCAUCCGCAUCUGAAGUUGCAGCAUUGGUAGUAAGAGAUCCAACCAGAGAGAGUGAAGGACGUGACAUUGUUGUUGAGUACAAAAAUAUGGAGCUGCAAAGGAUAUCAGAGAUCCACCCGAAAUUCAUGUCCAUGCAAUAUCCGUUGUUGUUCCCAUAUGGAGAAGAUGGUUUUAAACUUGAGAUACCCUACAAGAAAACAAAAGGAGGUACAAACAGCAGGAAAUACGUAACGUUGUUGGACUACUAUGCAUUCUACCUAUAG
RNAcentral lists this ribosomal RNA (642 nucleotides) under Triticum aestivum (bread wheat). Its description in RNAcentral is "partial small subunit ribosomal RNA". The record is from RNAcentral. Lineage: Eukaryota; Viridiplantae; Streptophyta; Magnoliopsida; Poales; Poaceae.